RNAcentral lists this small RNA (204 nucleotides) under Pseudomonas cuatrocienegasensis. RNAcentral's name for it is "Pseudomonas sRNA P27". It matches the Rfam family "Pseudomonas sRNA P27". Lineage: Bacteria; Pseudomonadati; Pseudomonadota; Gammaproteobacteria; Pseudomonadales; Pseudomonadaceae. The record is from RNAcentral. RNAcentral also lists the same sequence under 1 other name.
GGGUUUAACUCCUGCUUGUUACCGUUUCAUCUGGCCGAAGCCGGAUGUCGUUUUGGUGUCUGAUUCGGUAAGAAUCGGGAGCACCAUCUGCGUAGGCGGCCCAGGAUUGCUCCCAGGGUUUAAGGCUUGCGCCACCUACGGUCUUGGAUAGCCCCCGCCAGGCAGGGACCCCAAAGUGUCGAAGCAGCGCAAUCACUUGCGCUA